GGUUGGCCCAGUGGUUAAGAGCACUGACUGUUCUUCCCGAGGUCCUGAGUUCAAUUCCCAGCAACCA
This 67-nucleotide transfer RNA is filed under the name Mus musculus (house mouse). RNAcentral's name for it is "tRNA-Asn". The record is from RNAcentral. Lineage: Eukaryota; Metazoa; Chordata; Mammalia; Rodentia; Muridae.